This 566-nucleotide ribosomal RNA is filed under the name uncultured archaeon. RNAcentral describes it as "bacterial SSU rRNA". It matches the Rfam family "Archaeal small subunit ribosomal RNA", at positions 326 to 894 of the family's 1478-position model. The record is from RNAcentral.
CGGGGUGCACCAGGCGCGAAAACUUUACAAUGCUGGCAACAGCGAUAAGGGGACCUCGAGUGCCAGGAUACAAUCCUGGCUGUCGUAAUGCCUAAAAAGCAUUGCAUAGCAAGGGCCGGGCAAGACCGGUGCCAGCCGCCGCGGUAACACCGGCGGCUCGAGUGGUAACCGCUAUUAUUGGGUCUAAAGGGUCUGUAGCCGGCUGACUAAGUCUCUUGGGAAAUCUGGCAGCUCAACUGUCAGGCUUUCAGGAGAUACUGAUCGGCUCGAGACCGGGAGAGGUGAGAGGUACCUCAGGGGUAGGGGUGAAAUCUUGUAAUCCUUGAGGGACCACCAGUGGCGAAGGCGUCUCACCAGAACGGAUCUGACGGCAAGGGACGAAAGCUAGGGGCACGAACCGGAUUAGAUACCCGGGUAGUCCUAGCCGUAAACGAUACUCGCUAGGUGUCGGUCACGGUGCGACCGUGGUCGGUGCCGUAGGGAAGCCGUGAAGCGAGCCACCUGGGAAGUACGGCCGCAAGGCUGAAACUUAAAGGAAUUGGCGGGGGAGCACAAGGGCGAUUCGC